RNAcentral lists this long non-coding RNA (1029 nucleotides) under Salmo salar (Atlantic salmon). RNAcentral's name for it is "lncRNA (ENSSSAG00000099320.1)". The record is from RNAcentral. Lineage: Eukaryota; Metazoa; Chordata; Actinopteri; Salmoniformes; Salmonidae.
AGGUCCUUGAUGAUCUACUUCUUGGCCUUCCUGUGACACCAGGUGCUGUAGAUGUCCUGGAGGCCGGCUGCAACCAUGUUUCAGAUCAUUUUGUAUUAUUCUGUACAUAAAUCCGAGACACUCCAUUUAAUAUAUGUUACGAUUCGUUGGUAUGCAUUAAUUAGUGGAUGUCCAUCAUCCAUUUCAUUAGACAUGUUAAGAAUUCACAAAUUGUGAAAUAUGUUACGAUUUGUGCAAAACGUAUGAUAUGUUACGAAUUCCAAUUAGUUGUUGCUAACUUUAGCUAGGUGGCUAAUGCUAACGUUAGCUAGCUGGCUAAAGUUAGCUGGGUUAGGAGUUAGGUUAAAGGGUUAGGGGAAGGGAUAGCUAACAUGCUAAGUAGUUGAAAAAAAGCAAGUAAUUGCAAAGUUGCCCGUGAUGAAAUUCAAACACUCAACCUUUGGGUUGCUAGAUGUUCUCGUUACACACCCACCCUCCUUUUGUUUUUUUCUUCAGUAACCUUCUGUCUUAUGUAACCGUACCAAACAUAAUUUACACUACACGACCAAAAGUAUGUGGAGACCUUCUAGUCAAACACCUCAUUCCAAAAUCAUGGGAAUUAAUAUGGUGUUGGUCCCCCCUUUGCUGCUAUAACAGCCUCUACUUUCUUGGAAGGCUUUCCACUACAUGUUGGAACAUUACGGCGGGGACUUGCUUCCAUUCAGCCACAAGAGCAUUAGUGAGGUCGGGCACUGAUGUUGGGCGAUUAGGCCUCGCUCGCAGUCAGCGUUCCAAUUCAUCUCAAAGGUGUUUGAUGGGGUUGAUGUCAGGGCUCAGUGCAGGACAGUCAAGUUCUUCCACACCGAUCUCGACAAACUAUUUCUAGAUGGACCUUGCUUUGUGCACACUGGAAUUGUCAUCCUGAAACAGGAAAGGGCCUUCCUCUAACUGUUGCCACAAAGUUGGAAGCACAGAAUCGUCUAGAAUGUCAUUGCAUGCUGUAGCGUUAAGAUUUCCCUUCACUGGAACUAAGGGGCCGAGCCCAAACCA